GACGAACGCUGGCGGCGUGCCUAAUACAUGCAAGUAGAACGCACAGUUUAUACCGUAGCUUGCUACACCAUAGACUGUGAGUUGCGAACGGGUGAGUAACGCGUAGGUAACCUGCCUGGUAGCGGGGGAUAACUAUUGGAAACGAUAGCUAAUACCGCAUAAUAUUAAUUAUUGCAUGAUAAUUAAUUGAAAGGUGCAAUUGCACCACUACCAGAUGGACCUGCGUUGUAUUAGCUAGUAGGUGAGGUAACGGCUCACCUAGGCGACGAUACAUAGCCGACCUGGGAGGGUGGUCGGCCAACCUGGGAAUGAGACACGGCCCAGACUCCUACGGGAGGCAGCAGUAGGGAAUCUUCGGCAAUAGACGAAAGUCUGACCGAGCAACGCCGCGUGAGUGAAGAAGGUUUUCGGAUCGUAAAGCUCUGUUGUAAGAGAAGAAAGGGUGUGAGAGUGGAAAGUUCACACUGUGACGGUAUCUUACCAGAAAGGGACGGCUAACUACGUG
Molecule: ribosomal RNA, 505 nt
Filed under: uncultured bacterium
Lineage: Bacteria
Description: partial 16S ribosomal RNA
Rfam family: Bacterial small subunit ribosomal RNA
Source: RNAcentral